Molecule: ribosomal RNA, 137 nt
Filed under: Truncatella reclusa
Lineage: Eukaryota; Metazoa; Mollusca; Gastropoda; Littorinimorpha; Truncatellidae
Description: partial 28S ribosomal RNA
Rfam family: Eukaryotic large subunit ribosomal RNA
Source: RNAcentral
CCCUGAAAAUGGAUGGCGCUGGAGCGUCCCACUUAUUCCGGACCGCUUGGGCAGUGUGCUUGCGAAAGCAACAAGCCAAGCUCAAGCGAGUAGGAGGGCCGCUGUGGUGAGCGUCGAAGCCUGGGACGCGAGUCUGG